ACGUAGGUGGCGAGCGUUGUCCGGAAUUACUGGGUGUAAAGGGAGCGCAGGCGGGGAAACAAGUCAGCUGUGAAAACUAUGGGCUUAACCCAUAAACUGCAGUUGAAACUGUUUUUCUUGAGUGGAGUAGAGGUAGGCGGAAUUCCGAGUGUGGCGGUGUAAUGCGUAGAUAUUGGGGGGGACACGAGAAGGGGAGGCGAGCUACUGGGAUCUAACUGCCGCGGAGUCUCGAAAGUGUGUUGAGCUGACCG
Molecule: ribosomal RNA, 251 nt
Filed under: uncultured prokaryote
Description: partial 16S rRNA
Rfam family: Bacterial small subunit ribosomal RNA
Source: RNAcentral